GGCUCCGUAGUUCAACUGGAUAGAAUAUCAGAUUUCGGCUCUGAUGGUUGGGGGUUCGAAUCCUCCCGGGUCACCA
Molecule: transfer RNA, 76 nt
Filed under: Saprospiraceae bacterium
Lineage: Bacteria; Pseudomonadati; Bacteroidota; Saprospiria; Saprospirales; Saprospiraceae
Description: tRNA-Arg
Rfam family: tRNA
About the family: Transfer RNA (tRNA) molecules are approximately 80 nucleotides in length. Their secondary structure includes four short double-helical elements and three loops (D, anti-codon, and T loops). Further hydrogen bonds mediate the characteristic L-shaped molecular structure. tRNAs have two regions of fundamental functional importance: the anti-codon, which is responsible for specific mRNA codon recognition, and the 3' end, to which the tRNAs corresponding amino acid is attached (by aminoacyl-tRNA synthetases). tRNAs cope with the degeneracy of the genetic code in two manners: having more than one tRNA (with a specific anti-codon) for a particular amino acid; and 'wobble' base-pairing, i.e. permitting non-standard base-pairing at the 3rd anti-codon position.
Source: RNAcentral